AGUGAACGCUGGCGGUAGGCCUAACACAUGCAAGUCGAACGGCAGCACAGUAAGAGCUUGCUCUUACGGGUGGCGAGUGGCGGACGGGUGAGGAAUACAUCGGAAUCUACUUUUUCGUGGGGGAUAACGUAGGGAAACUUACGCUAAUACCUCAUACGACCUACGGGUGAAAGCAGGGGAUCUUCGGACCUUGCGCGAUUGAAUGAGCCGAUGUCGGAUUAGCUAGUUGGCGGGGUAAAGGCCCACCAAGGCGACGAUCCGUAGCUGGUCUGAGAGGAUGAUCAGCCACAAUGGAAAUGAGACAAGGUCCAGACUCCUACGGGAGGCAGCAGUGGGGAAUAUUGGACAAUGGGCGCAAGCCUGAUCCAGCCAUACCGCGUGGGUGAAGAAGGCCUUCGGGUUGUAAAGCCCUUUUGUUGGGAAAGAAAAGCAGCAGGUUAAUACCCCGCUGUUCUGACGGUACCCAAAGAAUAAGCACCGGCUAACUUCGUGC
RNAcentral lists this ribosomal RNA (493 nucleotides) under uncultured bacterium. Its description in RNAcentral is "partial 16S ribosomal RNA". It matches the Rfam family "Bacterial small subunit ribosomal RNA", at positions 29 to 508 of the family's 1533-position model. The record is from RNAcentral.